GCGGGAGUGCCCGAAAGGGAAUCGGAACACAGGUGCUGCAUGGCUGUCGUCAGCUCGUGUCGUGAGAUGUUGGGUUAAGUCCCGCAACGAGCGCAACCCUUAUCAUUAGUUGCUACGCAAGGGCACUCUAAUGAGACUGCCGGUGACAAACCGGAGGAAGGUGGGGAUGACGUCAAGUCCUCAUGGCCCUUAUGGGUAGGGCUUCACACGUCAUACAAUGGUCGGUACAGCGAGAUGCGAAGCGGCGACGCGGAGCAAAUCUCAGAAAACCGGGCCAAGUUCAGAUUGGAGGCUGCAACUCGCCUCCAUGAAGCUGGAAUCGCUAGUAAACGCGGAUCAGCAUGCCGCGUUGAAUACGUCCUCGGGCCUUGUACACACCGCCCGUCACACCAUGGAAGCCAGCAACACCCGAAGCCGGUGAGCUAACUGCAAAGAAGCAGCUGUCGAAGGUGGGGUUGGUGACUGGGGUGAAGUCGUAACAAGGUAGCCGUAGGAGAACC
RNAcentral lists this ribosomal RNA (500 nucleotides) under uncultured bacterium. Its description in RNAcentral is "bacterial SSU rRNA". It matches the Rfam family "Bacterial small subunit ribosomal RNA", at positions 1008 to 1512 of the family's 1533-position model. The record is from RNAcentral.